Long non-coding RNA from Etheostoma spectabile (orangethroat darter), 101 nucleotides. RefSeq lists it as uncharacterized. NCBI's taxonomy places the organism in Eukaryota, Metazoa, Chordata, Actinopteri, Perciformes, Percidae. The record is from RefSeq and is a predicted model, not a curated record. The transcript has 3 exons.
AGAGUUCAGGCGUAAGAAAGCUGCAAUAUCUUACUAUUGGAUGUUUCAUUCAGCCACUGUCCAAUCCUGUUGCUGGUAGAAUCCUCUAUUACGAUUCAGAU